GAACUCAGACUGGAAAGGCGGAC
Molecule: non-coding RNA, 23 nt
Filed under: Cricetulus griseus (Chinese hamster)
Lineage: Eukaryota; Metazoa; Chordata; Mammalia; Rodentia; Cricetidae
Source: RNAcentral